GACGAACGCUGGCGGCGUGCCUAAUACAUGCAAGUAGAACGCACAGUUUAUACCGUCUCUUGCUACACCAUAGACUGUGAGUUGCGAACGGGUGAGUAACGCGUAGGUAACCUGCCUGGUAGCGGGGGAUAACUAUUGGAAACGAUAGCUAAUACCGCAUAAUAUUAAUUAUUGCAUGAUAAUUAAUUGAAAGGUGCAAUUGCACCACUACCAGAUGGACCUGCGUUGUAUUAGCUAGUAGGUGAGGUAACGGCUCACCUAGGCGACGAUACAUAGCCGACCUGGGAGGGUGGUCGGGCAGACUGGGACGGAGACACGGCCCAGACUCCUACGGGAGGGAGCAGUAGGGAAUCUUCGGCAAUGGACGAAAGUCUGACCGAGGAACGCCGGGGGAGUGAAGAAGGGUGUCGGAUCGGAAAGCUCUGUUGUAAGAGAAGAACGGGUGUGAGAGUGGAAAGUUCACACUGUGACGGUAUCUGAACAGAAAGGGACGGCUAACUACGUG
This 505-nucleotide ribosomal RNA is filed under the name uncultured bacterium. RNAcentral describes it as "partial 16S ribosomal RNA". It matches the Rfam family "Bacterial small subunit ribosomal RNA", at positions 28 to 507 of the family's 1533-position model. The record is from RNAcentral.